This 23-nucleotide microRNA is filed under the name Caenorhabditis elegans. Its description in RNAcentral is "cel-miR-1832b-3p". Lineage: Eukaryota; Metazoa; Nematoda; Chromadorea; Rhabditida; Rhabditidae. The record is from miRBase by way of RNAcentral.
AGUGGGCAGAGCGAUUCGCUGAU